This 861-nucleotide ribosomal RNA is filed under the name uncultured marine bacterium. RNAcentral's name for it is "bacterial SSU rRNA". It matches the Rfam family "Bacterial small subunit ribosomal RNA", at positions 60 to 902 of the family's 1533-position model. The record is from RNAcentral.
AGUCAAGGAGAACAUUAUCUUCGGAUAAUAAGUAAACUGGCGAACGGGUGUGUAACGCGUAAAUAACUUGCCUCAGAGAUUGGGACAACAUUGGGAAACCAGUGCUAAUACCAAAUAAUGCAGCGGGCUCUUAGGAGCGCAGUUGUUAAAGUAGGCUUCGGCUUACACUUUGAGAUAGGUUAGCGUCCGAUUAGUUUGUUGGUGGGGUAACUGCCUACCAAGACUAAGAUCGGUAGCUGGUCUGAGAGGAUGAUCAGCCACAUUGGAAUUGAGAUACGGUCCAGACUCCUACGGGAGGCAGCAGUAAGGAAUUUUGCACAAUGGGCGAAAGCCUGAUGCAGCAACGCCGCGUGAACGAUGAAGUUUUUAGGAAUGUAAAGUUCUGUCGUAUGGGAAGAGAUCUUUCGAAUGUUAAUACCAUUCGUUAAUGACGGUACCAUACAAGAAAGCACCGGCUAACUUCGUGCCAGCAGCCGCGGUAAUACGAGGGGUGCUAGCGUUGUCCGGAUUUACUGGGCGUAAAGGGUACGUAGGCGUUUUAAUAAGUUGUAUGUUAAAUAUCUUAGCUUAACUAAGAAAGUGCAUACAAAACUGUUAAAAUAGAGUUUGAGAGAGGAACGCAGAAUUCAUGGUGGAGCGGUGACAAGCGUAGAUAUCAUGAGGAAAGUCAAAUGCGAAGGCAGCCUUCUGGCUCAAAACUGACGCUGAGGUACGAAAGCGUGGGGAGCGAACAGGAUUAGAUACCCUGGUAGUCCACGCCGUAAACGAUGAGUAUUUGAUGCUGGGGGAUUCGACCCUUUCAGUGUCGUAGCUAACGCGAUAAAUACUCCGCCUGGGGACUACGAUCGCAAGAUUGAACUC